RNAcentral lists this small RNA (28 nucleotides) under Bombyx mori (domestic silkworm). RNAcentral's name for it is "ovarian small RNA-27551". Lineage: Eukaryota; Metazoa; Arthropoda; Insecta; Lepidoptera; Bombycidae. The record is from RNAcentral.
UCCGGCAGAGUACACAGCUGGGAGGUUC